Molecule: long non-coding RNA, 626 nt
Organism: Setaria italica (foxtail millet)
Lineage: Eukaryota; Viridiplantae; Streptophyta; Magnoliopsida; Poales; Poaceae
Exons: 2
Source: RefSeq, a predicted model, not a curated record
UCAAGAAUCACCUCUCAACACAAAACCAAUAAACUUAGCUAGGUAACCAAGGAAGGUAGCAGCAACAGGAGGCAAUGGAGGGAAAGAGGACUACCGCUUUGAUGGUGAUCAUGUGCCUGGUCAUCUUGAGCCUCAAUGUUAACCCGGCCACCGCGGCACAGUGCGACUGCUGCAAAUCCGAUCAGGCAAAACAACUUUGUUCUACUUGUACUUCUACGGGUGCCCCCGACAUAUUCUGCGAGAGCGCCUGUCUCCCGGAUUGUCUUCCGUCCGAUCCUGUUGCUGCUACGACGGAAGGAGGACAACACUAAAACGAUAGCAUGAAUGCCAUUCAUAGGCAUAUGUUGCUAUGCUUCAAGCUAUGGCCAAGUUAUAUUAAUGUUUAUCUCCAAUAAAUUGUUCGCCAUAUGGGGCGACCUCUAGUUGAUCCAUCGUUGGUCUCAACUAUAUGUAUGUCGUGCAUCUGUGCACACGUGUGUGUGGUGACAAGCAUAGUUAAUUCCUCUCGCUGCUUGUAAUAAGGACACAGACAGUCCAUCGUGAUAUGUGUCAUGAACAGUCUAAUAUGUUUAUGUAUUGUCUCUAGCCUUAGCAAUUUUAUUGAAACAUGAUUAUUAUUAUUAUUA